AGGGUUCGAUUCUGGCUCAGGAUGAACGCUGGCGGCGUGCUUAACACAUGCAAGUCGAACGGAGUUUAGAGAGCUUGCUCUUAAACUUAGUGGCGGACGGGUGAGUAACGCGUGGGUAACCUGCCUUUCACUGGGGGAUAACAGUUAGAAAUGACUGCUAAUACCGCAUAAGCGCACGGGUUCGCAUGAACUAGUGUGAAAAACUCCGGUGGUGAAAGAUGGACCCGCGUCUGAUUAGCUAGUUGGUGAGGUAACGGCCCACCAAGGCGACGAUCAGUAGCCGGCCUGAGAGGGUGAACGGCCACAUUGGGACUGAGACACGGCCCAAACUCCUACGGGAGGCAGCAGUGGGGAAUAUUGCACAAUGGGGGAAACCCUGAUGCCAGCGACGCCGCGUGAGUGAAGAAGUAUUUCGGUAUGUAAAGCUCUAUCAGCAGGGAAGAAAAUGACGGUACCUGACUAAGAAGCCCCGGCUAACUACGUGCCAGCCGCCGC
This 495-nucleotide ribosomal RNA is filed under the name uncultured bacterium. RNAcentral describes it as "bacterial SSU rRNA". It matches the Rfam family "Bacterial small subunit ribosomal RNA", at positions 8 to 518 of the family's 1533-position model. The record is from RNAcentral.